This 666-nucleotide ribosomal RNA is filed under the name Enhydrobacter sp. Its description in RNAcentral is "bacterial SSU rRNA". It matches the Rfam family "Bacterial small subunit ribosomal RNA", at positions 201 to 853 of the family's 1533-position model. Lineage: Bacteria; Pseudomonadati; Pseudomonadota; Alphaproteobacteria; Hyphomicrobiales. The record is from RNAcentral.
UGAAAGGGGGCGCAAGCUCUUGCUAUUAGAUGAGCCUAAAUCAGAUUAGCUAGUUGGUGGGGUAAAGGCCCACCAAGGCGACGAUCUGUAACUGGUCUGAGAGGAUGAUCAGUCACACCGGAACUGAGACACGGUCCGGACUCCUACGGGAGGCAGCAGUGGGGAAUAUUGGACAAUGGGGGCAACCCUGAUCCAGCCAUGCCGCGUGUGUGAAGAAGGCCUUUUGGUUGUAAAGCACUUUAAGCAGGGAGGAGAGGCUAAUGGUUAAUACCCAUUAGAUUAGACGUUACCUGCAGAAUAAGCACCGGCUAACUCUGUGCCAGCAGCCGCGGUAAUACAGAGGGUGCGAGCGUUAAUCGGAAUUACUGGGCGUAAAGCGAGUGUAGGUGGCUCAUUAAGUCACAUGUGAAAUCCCCGGGCUUAACCUGGGAACUGCAUGUGAUACUGGUGGUGCUAGAAUAUGUGAGAGGGAAGUAGAAUUCCAGGUGUAGCGGUGAAAUGCGUAGAGAUCUGGAGGAAUACCGAUGGCGAAGGCAGCUUCCUGGCAUAAUAUUGACACUGAGAUUCGAAAGCGUGGGUAGCAAACAGGAUUAGAUACCCUGGUAGUCCACGCCGUAAACGAUGUCUACUAGCCGUUGGGGUCCUUGAGACUUUAGUGGCGCAGUU